RNAcentral lists this long non-coding RNA (209 nucleotides) under Mytilus galloprovincialis (Mediterranean mussel). The record is from RNAcentral. Lineage: Eukaryota; Metazoa; Mollusca; Bivalvia; Mytilida; Mytilidae.
CUUGGAUUGUCGUAUAUGCUUUCUCAUCUCAUAAUAAUAUAUUUAUAUAUAAUAUAUUAAACUUAUCAAAAAUACUUAUUUAGGUGUGCGCAGCUGAAACACUGAACACGAACAUAUGAAUUUAUAUGGGUUCGAAUUUUCGCCAUUCAAUGCAGACUUAAAAUUAUUCAGAGUCUUUGCCGUCACCGUUAAAUCUGACAGGUUAUUCC